CCAGCCUUGUUCUACAGGCAAACUGGGCCCCGGGGGACAUAACAGGCCCUGAAGAGAGCCUUCCAAAUGUGCUCCCACUCCCUCCCCGAGGGGGGAAAGUGACCUCCGGUGAACAAAUGCUCUUUCACCUUUGCUGUUCAGAAGUUGUUAACACGGGGCCGUGACGUGACUGAUUUGCUGCUUUCCUGUCUUCUGUGGAGCAACUUCUACUCUUUCUACCCUCAGAGCUAUCUCCAUGUAUUUGAAUGACCUCAGCUGUCCUGCAGCUGGCUGGCCUCUGCCUUCCUCUCCAGAUCAUCCGGGAACUGUGCUUUCUGGCUUCUGCUUCUCAGCUUGGCCGUUAGCUGUGGGAAGCCACACAGGGCUGAACUGUCUCCCUCCCUGUCUCCUCUGUUUGUCUCCUGCGUCUCUACAAUAGCUCUGCUUAAUAAGGAGUCUGGGAAGACAGCUCCUCCAGCAUUUCCACAGCUCCGCUUUGUGAGUAGAAGACAAAGGUGACUUCCUAGCCCACCCAAUCUGAAACAAGCUGGCAAAUGAAAUUUCCAUUCACCAACUGCAACUGAUUUGUAGUCCUUGAGCACCAACCGUAUGUUUCAGCUCUUCACAGUGUCACUGCUUCAAACUUGCCCUCCCCUGGAUUGUAUUCCCUUCGGUUUACUAGGAACUGUGGAGGGGUCAGUCUGUCCCGGAAGUGUGAGGACCAUGUUACAGAGGUGGGGGUGGCCCACAUCUUCCCUCUCCUGGAUAGACCCUGGAAGCUCAGUUCUUCAGAAAGAAGACGUGGACCCCGGAGAUAAGGCAGAAGGCAGUGCUGGGGCAGUGCACCUUCAACCAUCCAUGGAGAAUGACCCAUGUUUCCAAGACUCUGGCAGACACCUGGAGCAGAGUCCUGGCCGUGCAAGGGCUCAUGACCGUGUGUGUGGAUUGGUGUGGGACCCAGGCCCACCAAGCGGCACCUAAGCACCGAGGAGCUGCACAGUGCCAGGCUUUUCUCAAUUGUCCCACUCUAUAGGGCAAUGCACAGGGGCCUUACGGACUAGAACUGCACUGGGGGGAAUUCUUGGCUAUUAGUGUGGUCUUCAGGUUUCCUCCUGAGGUGGGGCAUGGGGAAGCCCUAGAAGGACAACAGCUGCCUAUGGUCUGAGCUGGAGUGGUGGGGAUGGAGUACUCCCCAGUAAAACACUGAAAACAGCUGGGAAGCCCCAGCAGAGUACUCUUCAGCGGGAAAUUCACAGCCCCACUUGUCUAUGAAAACACAAAAUCUCUCUGCCUCCAGGUUGAGUAACUCUGUACCAGGGGUGUGCUGAAGGGCUUGGGAGAAAUACCUCUCUAGGUGUCUCAGAAAAAGCAGAUUCUCUGAGAAGGUAGUGAUAGACUCUAAGUUGUGGCCAAGUUAAUUUCCAGGGAGUUAACAUUUUCCCCUUACAGUUAUUUUUGUGUACUUAUGUGACUAUGUGUUCUAGCUUUUGCACCUUUUCCACUGGGUUAAUGAUUAUCUGCCUCAAACUCUCUUUAUCUUGAAAAUUAAUUUUAAAAGUAGCCAUUAAUUUAAGUGCCUAUAUUUACACCCUGACAGUAUCCCUGAAUUAAACAUUUACCUAUCACCAUAGUAAACAUUAACAG
Molecule: long non-coding RNA, 1623 nt
Filed under: Chinchilla lanigera (long-tailed chinchilla)
Lineage: Eukaryota; Metazoa; Chordata; Mammalia; Rodentia; Chinchillidae
Description: lncRNA (ENSCLAG00000025374.1)
Source: RNAcentral